GUGAUAAGAUAGUCACCGUUCCGGUUUCAAGAAACAUUGAUUCCGCUUAUGCACUUUCACGCAGGUGCUCUUGAAAUUUUGCAGAUCUGCAAGACUCUUAACUAUUUAGAUUGAAAACCCCGCCUUCGCAAACGUUAAGCUGCGACUAUGGCCAUUAAUCUUAGCAAGCUCGCCCUUCUUCGCUCCUUCACUCCAAUUCCUCGUCUCAUUUCCACUGCUCCUGGCCGUUAUCAUUUCUCUGUAUGCUCGAUCGACGAAGCACCAUCUUUGGGAAGCUCCACUAGGACUGAGGAUCGUGCAAACAUAAAUCACCAAGAAUUUCAGAAAUGGCAUAAUGGAGGUGGGAUGUUCCACAAGACUGCUUGCAUUGAAUCCACAACACUCAUUGAAAUUGGUGCAGUAGUUCAUUCAGAAUGUGUCGUUGCUGCAAACGUUCAUAUUGGAUCAGGAACUAUUGUUGGACCUGCUGUGAAAAUUGGUGAAUCAACAAAAAUAGAGUAUAAUGUUUCAGUCACUAAUUGUACAAUAGGUGAUGCUUGUUUUAUUCACAAUGGAGUCUGCAUAGGUCAAGAUGGAUUUGGGUUCUUCGUGGAUGAGCAUGGGAACAUGAUGAAAAAGCCUCAAAUGCAGAGUGCAAGGAUAGGGAAUCACGUGGAGAUAGGUGCAAAUACAUGCAUAGACAGAGGCAGCUGGAGAGAUACAGUAAUAGGGGAUCACUCAAAAAUAGAUAAUUUAGUUCAGAUAGGUCACAACGUAGUAAUUGGAAAGAAUUGCAUCCUUUGUGGACAAGUUGGCAUUGCAGGUUCAGUGACGAUGGGUGACUAUGUGACUUUAGCAGGAAGAGUAGCAGUUCGUGACCAUGUAUCAAUUGUAUCAAAGUUUGCAGGUCAGGCUUGCAGCUAAUAGUGUUGUCACCAAGGACAUCAAAGAGCCUGGGGACUAUGGCGGCUUCCCUGCUGUAAGAACUGUUCCAAUUCAUGAAUGGCGAAAACAAGUUGCUGUUCUUCAAACUUUGAAGAAGCGGGCUCCUUAGAGUUGUCAAGAAACGAAUUUGUAUGUCACCAAUGUAACAUUUAUUGUUGUGAUUCUAGGGUUGCAAGCAAAAAAUGAAGAGAGAUUAGUAUUACUGGUUUAACCAAAAAGAAAGGAAAGGGAGAGAAAACAGAGUGAAUGCUCUGAUUCUUUUUAUUCUCUGCAUUUCUACAGAAUAAAGCCAAAAAGGCUAGUUUUUAUA
Molecule: RNA transcript, 1234 nt
Organism: Vitis riparia (riverbank grape)
Lineage: Eukaryota; Viridiplantae; Streptophyta; Magnoliopsida; Vitales; Vitaceae
Gene name: probable UDP-3-O-acylglucosamine N-acyltransferase 2, mitochondrial
Exons: 10
Source: RefSeq, a predicted model, not a curated record